GCAUGCUGUUCCCACUGAAGCCCGAGGCCUACCCCCCUCUUCUCCAUCUGGCCAAUCUGCACUCCCAAGGCCCUGAGUCUUCCCUGGCUUCUACCUCAGUUGCCUCUCUAAAUCAUGGAAUCUGUGAAUCUACAUUUAGCACACUGAAACAGAAGGAGAUUCGUGUCAUGUCAUUCUUGGACCAGGUGAUACCCUAGCAACCAGGAUGUUGGAGAUCCCCCACAUAUCUCCACGAACAGGAGCCCAGGGAAGAAAGCAGAAUAAUAAUGCUCUCGAUCAUCCUCUCUUCUUUAUCUAAAACAUGAUUCCUUCCUAUGUUUGCUCAGCAUAGACCACAGCCUUCUUUGCUGCAUGGGAAAAGAAAUGACAGUGGAUGCAAUGUGACCAGCUGCCUCAUACUGGAUGCCUACCCUACAAUGAUGGACUGUACAUCCACAAACUGACUUGAGACCGCCUGUGGAUAAAUCGCAUUUUUGGAUGCCUUGAAGAAAAUGGGUUUUAAAACAAGGAAUCAUAUAAUUACAAAGUAUUUGAAGUUUGGAAAGAGCAGGCUGGGAUCUGAGAAGUGACCAACAAA
Long non-coding RNA from Mastomys coucha (southern multimammate mouse), 577 nucleotides. RefSeq lists it as uncharacterized. The record is from RefSeq and is a predicted model, not a curated record. NCBI's taxonomy places the organism in Eukaryota, Metazoa, Chordata, Mammalia, Rodentia, Muridae. The transcript has 5 exons.